GGACCAUUAGCUCAGUUGGUUAGAGCAAACGGCUCAUAACCGUUCGAGUCCUGUAUGAUCCA
This 62-nucleotide transfer RNA is filed under the name Enterococcus faecalis. Its description in RNAcentral is "tRNA-Met". It matches the Rfam family "tRNA". Rfam says of the family: Transfer RNA (tRNA) molecules are approximately 80 nucleotides in length. Their secondary structure includes four short double-helical elements and three loops (D, anti-codon, and T loops). The record is from RNAcentral. Lineage: Bacteria; Bacillati; Bacillota; Bacilli; Lactobacillales; Enterococcaceae.